Molecule: long non-coding RNA, 2404 nt
Organism: Canis lupus familiaris (dog)
Lineage: Eukaryota; Metazoa; Chordata; Mammalia; Carnivora; Canidae
Exons: 3
Source: RefSeq, a predicted model, not a curated record
GAUUACAGAAGCAGGAAAGGGAUUGGUGCUCGCGGAGGGUACUGGAGGCAGAGCGCAGGGGAACGGAGAGGCAGGAGGCUGCACAGGGAUUCUGGGCCCACAAGGGUCUGAGGCUCUAGCGUCCGGUCGGUCGCCCUGUGGGAGAAGGUAGUUGGGUUCUAGCACCCGCCUGGGAGUCUUAGACUUCCACUGCUUAGAUGAUACAGAGCCAUGGAAAGGUUCUAUUUUAUUUCUUAAGAUUUUAUUUAUUCAUUCAUGAGAGACAGAGAGAGAGAGGCAGAGACCCAGGCAGAGGGGGAAGCGGGCUCCUCGUGGGGAGCCCCAUCGGGGACUUGAUCUCAGGACCCCGGGAUCACGCCCUGAGCCGGAGGCAGAUGCUCAGCCACUGAGCCACGCAGGCGCCCGAAGGAAAGGUCUUAAACGAGCAGGUCUGUGAAAGAGGGAAGCCUGGCUUUCUUGUUGGUGGCUGUACCCAGACGGCACACUGGUGUUCAAUAAAUGCACGGUGAAUGGAAAAGAGUUAAGGACACUGAAAAGCCUAUGAUGGAAACCAUCAGGGCCAUGAAAAAGCUGUAUCACUAAGGAUGUCCACUGCAGUAUCAAUCAUCAAAACAAAAAGUCAGAAGCACCCUGAUCUAAGAGCAGCAGAUGUCUGAAGAACUUCUGGUAGUUCCUCUCAUGCUUAUGAUGAUAUGGGAUCCAUUUAUUCGUUGGAGCCUUCUUCAAGCAACAGAUGUUCCUCUGGUCUUCUAUCUCUGAGCUCCAAAGAAAGGUGUGGACAAUCUGGAAAGUCUACCGGUUCAAACCAGAAUCCUUUCCUAGCUGAGGUUUUGGCGUUGAGAAGAUGGGUGGCAAAUAGUUAGCUGGCAUUGGGGUUGGGCUUCUGGGGAGGAGGCUUUGUCUAGGAUGGUGAUCGCAGGGUUGUAGCUGCGUAAUCACAUCAUUAACAGCCAUCCGAUAUUAUUGAAAACAAAGUCAUUAUUAUGAUACUUUAACAGUCUCAAGCCUGAAACCACUCUUAGUCUAAUUCAAUAAAUAAGCUACUUGAGUAUAGAAAGUCACAAGGAAGAACAGAUUUUGUGUCAUAUUAGCAAAUUUGAUUUUCAUUAAUGCAAGAUGAAUAUCUUCUAUGAAACACUUUCAUAUCAUAUUAAUGACAUGAUAGCAAACAGCAUUCAUGAGUUGCUAGGCAACACGAGGACCCUCUAAUGAUCUCCUCUGUACUUGAGAGGCCACAAAGGGAAGAUGCCAGAGCUCUGAGGACAUUUCCCAUUUCUUGGCAACUAUUUCUUCUGGAAGACCACUGUGGGGCUGGGAGAGAAGGGAAUUUAUGGUGCCAUUUACCAUGGCAAAUACACCUCUUCACUCUUCCCUCUUUUUCAUUGCCUCAAUGUGUGGGAGAGCAGGAACUGAGAACCAGGCUCAAAUACAAGAGGUCAAGAGUUCUCAAUCCAUAUACCUUCCCUCUGCUUAGGGAGGCAAUGGGCUUCUGUGACACCAGGACAAGAAAUGUAGUGAACUCCCUAAGGGUUGUUUGUCAAGCCAUCGUUUGUUGUGAUCUGCUCCACUCUUUGUUGUCUCUACUUCCCUGGGGGUAGGUCUCCAGCAGUGAGAUCAUUAUUUCAUGCAGCAGGGACAGUCAUCUGAUGCAGGCAUUGGAUAUUGACAUGCAACAAUCACCCCCAAAUUUAGUGGCAUGGAGCAAAAGCCAUUUUAUUAUGCUCACAAUGGCUUGGCUCAGCUCUGUGACUGUAGGGGCUUUGGAUGGGAAGAUAAAUGCCCAGGGGCCACUCAGAUGGCUGGGGCUGGAAUCAUCCAAAGGCUUCCUUACUCACAUGUCUGGCACCUGGGCUGGGAAGACUUAAAGGCUUGGCUCAGCUGAAAUUCUUGCUGGAGUGUCUGCAUGAUCUUUCCACAUAGCAUGGGCUUCCUCACAGCAUGGCAGCCUCAGGAUGGUUGAAAUUUUUAUAUGACAGGUCAGGAUCUUCCAGAAAAUAAGCCAGAGACUGUGUGGCCUUCUAUAACUCAGCCUCGAAAGUCAUAUGACCUCACUUUUGCCAUACUCCAUUGAUUAGGGCCAUCACAAGCUUGCUCAGACUCAAGGGGAGGGGACAUAGACCCUACAUUCUCUAUGGGAGGAAUGCUGAAUCAUCUGCAGUCUUAGUUUGAAACUGGCACACCAAGCCAUGCCAGCCAAUCACUCUCUAUGAAAUCUGCAGUCGGGAUAGAGUUGCAUCUGGUUAGUCUCUGUAGGUUUGGGAUUUGGAACAGGUAAGCAUGGGAGGUGAAGGGCAAGCCAAGAAGGCCAGUCCACAGAGAGGAAGAAGCCACCACUGCUUGGUUACUAGCUGCCUUGUCCUUCCUGCCUCUGGUUCCUUGUCAAGGCCUAGCCAUAGCUCUGCCC